GGAGUUGAAGGAAAGAGGUUUUGACUCACUGUAGAUUGUGGGAUGAUGGAAAAGAUUGUUUUGAAUAUAUGUCAUCCCUGACUUUCUAAUCUCACACUUGAAUAAUCAUUCUCUUGGUUGGAAGUUGUCAAGGUGGUUGCACCUCAACUCAAGAAUCUCACUAUUAAAGGUUUCAGUGGGAAGGAAUUUCUGAUUCCUGCAUCUGUCCUUACCUCCUUGGUCAUAAAAGAUGUUGAUCCUUUGCAGCUAAUUCCCACACAAGGUUUCCCUUCUUUGGAGAAGGUGAUCUCUGUUUUAGGGUGAAUCUCCAUUAUACAGGUUUACACCAACAGGCUCGUAAAUUAGCUUUUCUGCUUAAUCAGCUCCACAAUGUCAAAUUCCUUACCCUUAACUUGGGGCUUCUUCAGGUAUUAGCUAGUUGUUAAUUUAUCAUACUAGGAUUGUUAAUCUCAACUAUGGAAAUAAUACACAUGAUUAAUCUUCUUUUCUUAUAUUUUAUGUAGAUUCUUUCUUCAUCCAUGGAACCGGUCUCACAUCAGCCUUCUCCGUUUGCUAACUUAAAUAUCUUAAACUUUUUAACUUGCCCUGCAAUGGUAUACAUGGAAUUGCAACCACACGAGAAUGUAGCUACAUCUACUGAAAUAAAAAAUAAUAUGCAAGAUAGUUUUUUAAGUGCCAUCAUCACAAUGAUCUCACGUGAGGUAUGUAUACAUACAACUAUACAUGUUAUAACAAUGCAAUGCUUGUUUAUGCAAUGGGGUUUCAUCUUUUUCCUAGUUUAUGUAGUAAAAAGGUUAAUUAAACAAAAUGUAAAACCAGACCUAAAUAUGCAACAUUGCAUAUAACCUGAUUGAGUUGAUGUUAAUGUUUGGAUUUUAUUUAUUAAAAUACUUGACAAUUUUUUUUUUUUAAUACAACUAUACAUGUUAUAACAAUGCAAUGCUUGUUUAUGCAAUGGGGUUUCAUCUUUUUCCUAGUUUAUGUAGUAAAAAGGUUAAUUAAACAAAAUGUAAAACCAGACCUAAAUAUGCA
This 1032-nucleotide long non-coding RNA is filed under the name Lactuca sativa (garden lettuce). RNAcentral's name for it is "long non-coding RNA (LSAT_LNC004516)". Lineage: Eukaryota; Viridiplantae; Streptophyta; Magnoliopsida; Asterales; Asteraceae. The record is from RNAcentral.